Non-coding RNA from Pelodiscus sinensis (Chinese soft-shelled turtle), 268 nucleotides. The record is from RefSeq and is a predicted model, not a curated record. NCBI's taxonomy places the organism in Eukaryota, Metazoa, Chordata, Testudines, Trionychidae.
UUCCUCGUUGCAGGACUAGCCCUCUCUUACAGCCUCCUUUCCCUCUGCCUUGCAUCUCACUGGGAGACCGCUCCACCAGCUGGUUGGCUGGUCCUCCAGCUCAGGAUUGUCAGGAGGACAGCUCGCUGCAUCGGCCGUGAGAAGGCUCCUCCCAGCACCAUGGGGGUUUCCUUCCUCCUCUGCCUCCUCCCUGCUCUCCUAGCCACAGCCAGUGCCGAAGUUAUCAAAUGUGUGCGGUGCCGCGGCUCGGCAGCCGAAUGCCAGGACA